Non-coding RNA from Equus caballus (horse), 8161 nucleotides. The record is from RefSeq and is a predicted model, not a curated record. Lineage: Eukaryota; Metazoa; Chordata; Mammalia; Perissodactyla; Equidae.
CGCCCGCCGAGGGCGGGAUCUUGAGGCGAGCGCAGCGAACUUUCCCGGAUUCCCUCGCUCGGCGCCCGCGAGUCUGUCGGGCUGGAGUGGUAGCCAUAAUCCCGGGGUCACUGGGGAGGGGGUGACCCCUUUUGGGUUCCGGAGGUCAGACUCCAGGCCAUCGUGGGUCACCUGGAGGGGCUGCAUUCAGUUGUGAUAACCAGGGCGUAUUCGGCCGUCUGGUAGUUGGUCACUUGGUAGGUCUGCGCCCAGAGGAGGGCGGUGGCCCCGUACUAAAAUCGAUGUCAGCGGCACCAUCGCCCCUUCUAGUGAGUACCUGACCUUCUGCGGUGAAGCUGGGAAAACAGCAGCUGGUUUGGGAGGGCAUUAAACCCUUAGGGAACGCUCAGCGCCUGCACACAUCCCGGCCAGAGAACCCGGUGCCCACUGUGGGGGUGGGACGUGGGGAGGGUUUGAAUAGGAAGCCCGCGGGGAGACGUCGGCUCUUGGAGCCGCUCCCGCCGAGCUCUGCCUCUGUUCGCGGUCGGGAGUCCCACUCGGGAUGCAGACUGCUCAAGAGGCCGAGCCAGUUAGGCUGACCGAGGAGGAGAGCCUCCAGCGGCCCACGGUCCAAGGCAGUGUUCGCACCUUGGGCGCUCCGGGCGCCUGGCAUCACCAAAGCCGACUCCUCCUCCACCUACUCACUCUGCGAGCCCCGCGCCCCAGAGCAGGUGUUUGAGGUCUGGUUUUGUUUUUUGGUUCUUCCAAAGUAGUCGGCAUCUAUGGAGGAGACCCCAGGCAAGGAGAAACGCCGAGAACCGGAUUGGAGUGCGUUUCAGGGGCGCGCGGAAACGCCCCGGGGAGAGCCGGGAGGCAGCGGCGACGGCGCAGCCUGGGACGGCCAGGAGCGCGGGGCGGGGAGCGGCCGGUGGCCGUGGGCGUCUCACCAAAGCGGCCCUGGAGGGGCCCCCGGCUCCCAGCCAAGCCCACGUGAAGCAGCAUCAGGGCAGUUGCAGCUGUAGAGGAACCGCGCGUCGUGAAAGCCUUGACUUACUCUCCAUUUCUGACGUUUUGGUUUUAAUUUGCACGGAGUAAACGAAGUAGCCGUCGGUUCCGGCCGCGGACCCGAAGCGCGCGCAGGCUCGGGACCCGCACUCGGGACUCCUGGCGGCACGGGUCCUGGAGGCACGAGAGACCGUAAGGGCAAAGGUCGGGAACGUGUGCUCCCCGCGUGUCCCCAGGCUACCUUCGCAGGUGUGGACAUCUCUCUGCGCUACUUUGGUGCCUUAACUCUGCUUGGUCUCCACUCGGAAGCUUUUUAUUUUUGUUUUAGAAACGAAAAGACUUUAGAGGCCAGCGCCCGUCCUCUCCCGUAGGCCGCAUCUCCAGCCCCCGCGCCCCAGGGUUGCACGGGGGGCUUGCGCGGUGGGUCUUUUUGGCGGAGAACCGCCCCGCGAGGCUCAGCUUCUCCUGCCGAGUCGCCCCUGGAACGCCCAGACCCGUGUCCGGCCCCCGAUUUUAUUUCUACUUCGGAGUCGUUUUCUUACCCAGGACUCACUCAAGAGCCCGCGCGGGAAGGACCGCCCUUUAUGAAAAGCCAGGGACUUCCAUUUCCAAACGAAAGGUAGCAAGUUAGUGGCAAAGCCGAGCCGAAACCCAGGUCCCUCGACAUCCAGCUCGGGCUUUACCACCAUCCCAAGGCCCUAAAGGCUAAAGGAAUGAGGGGGAAAGGAAAAAGGAGGGCGAGCGGGACUCUGGGAGCCCGGGUGGCUUUGGAACGUCGGUAAAGCUCAUCCUGGCCUAACGGUGCUUAAUUAUUACAGGAUCAAAAUAUCGCGCCUGAGUGGGAGCGGGCAGUGGGGACCUCUGAACCCCCGCUUGACCCCGGCGCUGUCAACUGCCCCUGCCCGAGCGCGGCGCGGGCGCUGCAGCCGUGGCCCCAGGGCCCAGCGCGCUCAGGCUGCGCUCCGGGCGUCGCCCCGCGGCCGCCCCAACUGAGUGAAGCGCGGAGCAGUCAGGGCCGGGGCCGGGGCCGGGACGGCCGGAGGACGGCCAGAGGGGGGCUCGGCGGCGCAGACCGGCAGCAGGCCCAGCGCCGGAGUCUGCCCGCCCUGGUCGCGGGGCAGGCGCUUGGGCACGGGAGAUCGCAGCUUCAUUUCUUUAAACUGAAAAAAAGGAAGGGAGGAACUUUUGUUAUAGUCCACCCUCCACCCCGGCCCCCUCUGUUCAUUUGAAAAUUAGGUCGAUGUUUUGACCAAUCCCCCAUCUCCAGUUCAAACCCAAUUCUCCGAGCCGCUUUGGGGGCGCAGGGGGCGCGCACACUGCCGGGUGCGCCGUGAAAAUUCUUCGGUUCCCCGCUCGGUGCCUCGAACCGCCGGGGCCACCGUCUGUCCUGACGCCCCGCGAGAUGGUCCCCGAGCUCCCACAGAGUCCCCGGUGAAAGGACGCUGCAGCGCCGCCUCUAUUACGAUACCGUAAAUCUUUUUAAAUUCUGGAACUAAUUAUAUAGAGGAUAUGUCUCAAUUUGUUCUGCAUUAAUGCCACAGUGGGGAUGGAGGCCGGGCCGUGGCCGGAGCAGAUACUCGGCCCAUGAAAUUGAUGAACUGAGAGCUGCUUCCAGUCCCGGGCGCACCAUCUGGAAUUCCAGUCUGAGGUUACAAUUAGAACUCCUGACCCCAGAUUCAACUCUGCAGACAACAGGGGAAAAAGGAGAAAAGCAGAAAAGCAAGAGAAAGAACACUCAACUUAUUCUGCACCUGUAAAAAAAAAUCCCCACACAAUCUUAAAAUCUAUCUUAGAGAAUUCUUUCCAAGUAUUUCUUCUGUGUUUUUUUAACCUGUAAAAGAUAAUGGAAUAUAUUUUAUAGACUGGAUCUUAUCUUAUCUCUUUUUCCUCUCCUGACUGCACUCAGUUUAAUAGUUGUCAGUUUUUCCUCAGUGUUGGAUUUAAUUAUGUAGGACCAAAAGAUUCCUCAGUAAAUUAGAUUGCUGAAUAUUCUGUUGUUUGUGUGAUUUCGCCUUUGAGAAACAGCUUAAUUACAGAAAUUUAUCUGGAUCUAGGAACUUUUCUUCUUUUGACUGUUUCUCCAGCUUAACUGUAAUCAGAGAUUUUAUUUGUGUUGUAACUUUAUUUGUGUUCUAAAUCGGUUGGACCAAUUUCUUCCUUCUUUCUUUAGUAACACGCUGCUUUAUUUUCCUCUCACUUUGACCCCUGAAGAAAGUGAAGGACCAGGCAGUGCUGGGGAAUCUGUUAAAUUUAUUAGCAUAAAUGCUUAGACAAAACGAGGUAUAAAUCAUUCAGAUGUAUUAAGCCAUAAAAUAUCCCAAUGAAGUCAGUCCCUUGCCAGGGUCCUGGUGUAUAAAUGUUCGUAUAAAACAAGGUAUCAGUAUUAUCUUUCAAACUGGAUAUAUGUUGUAAAAAUAGCCAAACAUUGAGAGGAACAUGGGGCGGUGGCAGGAUGGCGGUGUUCUUUAGAGCAGCCUGUUGGCGUUGUGGUGGCUCAAAAAGUGACAAACAAAAAAUCUCAACAGUUUGCAUUUGAAAUACUCAGUAGACAGAUUUUUAAAGGGAGAUUUGCAGGAUAUACUUGAUGGGAAGCAAAGAAAUAAGGAAGAGAUGAACAGAGAGCAAAAGGCAGUGCUUUUUCUGUAGAAUGCAUUUUUUUUUUAAAUCAAUUUAGCUGCAAAAAAAUCUGCUCAGAAAAGGCACUGGCUCAGCAUACAGAUAACGAAUGAGCCAUCAGUGAAGAGCCACCUGGGCCUUGGUUUACAAGCCCGGAUGUGCAGCUGGUCGACGGAGAAGGCUGUGUAUUCACUGGAGGUGGACGGGAGAAGAGAGUGGGGAGUGAGGCAGGGGAGUUGUCAGGCUCCCUAGCAGGGUUACCGAGACAAAAAUCAGAGACAAGUCUAAGGAGCAAUGGCUGGCACAGCUCAUAACCACGGCUCUCCGAAAAUCUUGGCAAAUCAGGGCAUUCUUUGCCUUUUAGAAAUGGUGAUUCUGAAGCUUUUUUUAAAAUUAAGGCAUCUACCAGAUAAAGGGAGUAGUCCCCCUUUGUUUUCAGCAGGGGCAUCCUCAUCCUUUUGGUGCCACCUGAGUGCCAGGCAUCGUGCAGGGACUGAGGAUGCUGCCGGCCAGGCUCCCCCUGCUCCCGCGCAGCUUAUGUUCCAGGAGGAACAACAGACAAAUUAUGAGCGAACAAGCGAGAUGCUUUCAGACAGUGGCAGCCGCCGUAAAGGAGCAAGGAUGUCUGUUAGCCGAGAGAUCACUAGAGGGAGAGGGGAGUAGGAACGACCAGCCCUCGCUCCUUUGCUGCUUUCUGUCUUCCACCACAUGCCACGUUUUCACGUGUCUGCUGAGUAUCCCACCCGACUGCCGACGCAGGAGGGGCCUGAAGGGUUUAGGACGCUCGGUCUGGGUCCAUCUCUGCCUGCAAGGUGCUGGACUUCAGGGACUCCACGGAGCAGCUGUUGAGACAGAGCUGGGUUUAAAUCGCCACCACCAGCUGAGCGACUAUGAAAGAUACUUAACCUCUGGGAAACUCGAUUUUCUCCUUCAAGAUAAAAAAAAAACUACAGUGCCUCUUCGCGUUGUAAGAACUGGCUGAGGGAAGUCGUGGGAUUUCGUAGCUGGUAGGAAGUGCUCAGGGAAUGGUGGCUGUUAUCUGUAUUGACAUAGAUUCUGUUUUCCUUUACUUCUGAUAAUGUGUAAGUUCUAGACUUAGUACUGAUACGGGUGUGAGUUUAGAAAAGUAGCAGUCUUCGUUCUCGUUGGGUCAGGGAGGGGCCAGGAAGGCAAGCCCUUUGCCACCGAGUCUGACUUUAAGGAAGGUUGCUGCCACCUUGAAGAAAACUGAAACCAUUUUGUCCUACACCUGGGCCCUGAAAUAGGAAAUAUGUGGAUUUUGCUUCAAAAUCAAGCUUCCAUUCUUUCCUUCAGUACAGAAGGGUAUAGGUUAACAUCAGCUGGAAAAGCUGAGGAUCGCAUUGUUCCUUACAGCUGCGUUUCAGGGGCGCAGGCUGGUCCGGAAUAAGGAAUCCUGGGCUAGGUAUAAAAACACCUGGGCUCAAAUCCUGUGUCUGCCAAGGACCGUGGCUUUGGGGAAACAGCUUAAGUUCUCAAUUUCUCAGUACCUGAAACAAGGAUGAUAAUAAAAAUGAAAUAAAGCAUACAGAGUGAUUUGAAAACUGUAAAGUGCUAGGCGGGACAGAGAACCAUCCGGAUGCUCUGUCAUGUGGGAACGCACCGCAGAAAGUGCUGUUGGGGCUUUGAGGGUACAUGGCUUGUUCCCAGGUUUCUCCGUUUGUGAAGUGGGCACCGUACCUUCCCCAGAGGGCUGCGGUGAGACCUGGACGAGCCUGGUGAACUUUGCAAACAACCUUUGGCAGAGUGUGCGCCGUGGGCGUUGCUGUUACUGUUACUCUCACCUUCUCUGGCCUCCUCCUGGGCCCAGAGCUGAGCCUGUGUCUACACACUGAUAGUUUCUUACUCUGGAAGUUCAGAACAGUAGGAAGACCAAGGCUUAGGGGUCAGAUGCUGGGGUUUAAAUCCUCCUCUGCUCCUUUUUUUCUGUGUGGCUUUGGGUGACUUCCUUAUUCUCUCUGAGCAGGAAUUUUCAUAACUGUAACAUGGGGCUAACGAUGCCUUCACCUCACAGAGUUGUUUUGAGAACAAAUCAACACACACGUGUAAAGUCCCUACGUGGUGCCUGGCAUGUAGUCACAAAAAAAUAAAUGGUCAUUAUUAAAUUUUCAACUUGUCUAAUCAGAGAAUAUUAACCGACUUCGAAAAACAGAUCAGCCAUCAAGAAGGUGGUUUACAGCGUGACUGAGCAUGCGCAGAAACAGAUUCCCAUCUUCUUUUAAAUUCUAAACCUGUACCAGGUUGAAACCUCACUCUUCCCUGUAUGAAAGAUGCUGCAGUCGAGGCAUUGACAAUGUUUCCUUUGACUACAAGCUCUGUAGGUUAAAAGACAUUAUCCCAUUUAUUUUCACUGGGUUUCUUUGCAGAAUAUCCAGCAUACAUCAAGGACUUUGGUAACCCCAUGUUUUGCAAAAUAAGCAGGAAGCUGUUUCAGCCAAUGGAGGUAAAAAGCAGUUUGACUCUUCCCGAGUUGCCACAUCGCGUUAUUAAUAGCUCCGUAAACAGGCUUGAACAUAGUAUCAGCUGGCUGCUCAAGAGAUUACAAAAGUUUAUGAGAAGUUGCUUAGGAAAAACAAGAUAGAGUCAUUAGAAAUCUGAUACUGGUCAAUAGUGCGUUUAUUCCAAGUCUCCAUAAAUCACAAACAAAUGAAACCUCUAUUGUGAUCACUGUUCCAGAUCUAAAGGGUUCCCCUCUCCCCUUUGGUAGAAAUUAAAGACAUUUAAGAAAGCCUAGGAUUUUUUUCUCUACCAAUACAGAGGCUAAUUACAAAAUUUCCCAGGAGAUAAUAAAUAAACUAAGCAGCAGAUGUGACCACAAUAAAUGAGAAGGACAUAACUUAACUUGGAUUCUCUAUUACAGCACAUGUUUAUCUUUAAUUAUCCCCAACCUGGGAAUGGAGUAACUGUUGUUAUCUGCUAUAUUUAUUAUUUAUUUCUAGAGUGACUCCACAUUUUUAUUUUGCCCAGGACAGUCUCAGUUUAAGCUCUUGUCCUGACUUAAUUAUUAAUUGCUCUCCUUUUAUUCCCAGAAGUGUCCUGGUUUUGAUUCUAAAUGAUAAGGACUCCACUUGCUUAAAAUUUUAUUUUAUAAAAAAGAUUUAAGAAAGCCAUUAGAACAAAGAUGAAAGACCAAGAGUUAAGUGUGUCUAGGGAGAAGAAGAAAAGAUUGGAUUAAUAUUAGAAAUCAAAGGAUGAGGAUAGUUACUGUAGUUGAAAAUAAAUUUAGUUCUGAGUUUCCUGACAGCUUAGUCAAAAAGGGAAAAUAAAACUAGUUACUUAUCUCUCAAUAUGCAAUAAAGGAAGAAACCCAAUUUUUCAGAAGAGACAAACUUUUCUAAACUCUAAGAGGAUCUUAUCUCACUGGCCUUUCUAUAAGGGUCAUCAGACGAUGGUUAGUGACUUCCACAAUAAUGUUUCAAAAACUGCGGACACAUUCUCUGAUUGGUGGUUUCCCAUUUCAACCAAAUGAUGUAGUCUUUAAUUUAUAGUUUUGUGUGCUUUUUCUAAGAGGAGAGAGGCAAUAACAUAGUCCCUUUUUAUAGUUUUGUGGGGGUCUGACCUGAUUUAAAUUAACCUAAUGUGUUAAUUUUCAGAAACUCCCAACUGAUAAUUUUUACAAACAUCUUUUAUUCAUUAAUCAUCGAAUAACUUUGAACAUGAACCAAAACACUGCUAAGGACCUAACCCUGUUCUCCAGAAUCUGUGAUCUGAUGUGGGGAGAGCCCAAGGGCAGUGGUUCUAAACUGAGGUGAUUUGCACACAGCCCCCACCCUCACCCCCUGGACAUCUGGCACCGUCUGGAGACUGUUGUGAUUGCCACAGCUCAGUGGGGUAGGAAGGCGGACGCCACUGGCAUCUAGUGGGACACUGCUAACAUUCUUCAAUGCACAGUAGAGUCCCCCACUAAAAAGAGUUAUCCAGCCCAAAAUGUCAGUCGUGCUGAGGUUGAAAGACCCUGCCCUAGGUACUGUCAGCAGGAGAGAUCAUCAUUUCUAGCUGGAGUACAAAGGAAAAAGGUUCGUGGCGGAGGGAGCCUUGAGCUCACUUCCCCCACCCCACCCCAGGGCGGGUGGAGACUCCACUCCCCAGGCUCGAGAAAUGGUGGUGAGGAAACAGCAGGUGAGGAGAGGCCAGGCAUGGUGCAGGGCUGCCGUCCACGCAGGAGCUGUGGGUUAACUGGUUUGGCCAGAAAAGAGGGGGAAUCCGUGUGGAGCAGUAAGAGAAAGGCAGAGUGUACACACACACUCAGAGCAAAGGGUUCUGUUCUGACGCUAUGCUCCAAGAUCCCUCAAUAUUGCUAGCAUUUUUUGAAAAGCACACAAAUCAAAGACAGCAUAAAUGUUGUCUAUGUUCCCCAAGACCGUUUCGUGAACGCCGCUUGUGGUGUGUACAGGGAGAGACACAUCAUUUUUCACCACUUACAUAUUAGAGAUUCCUUGGAACUCAGUUUUAUAUCGCAUCAAAUUUAAAAAAUGGGUGCCUACUUAAAAAUACAACCUAUCCAGGCACAGAAAAUUCUGAACCAAUGCUGUAAUUAAUAAAA